RNAcentral lists this long non-coding RNA (714 nucleotides) under Heterocephalus glaber (naked mole-rat). RNAcentral describes it as "lncRNA (ENSHGLG00100028209.2)". The record is from RNAcentral. Lineage: Eukaryota; Metazoa; Chordata; Mammalia; Rodentia; Bathyergidae.
GUGAAGGAAUAGGAACAGAUGUGGGAAGUGCAUUGAGGUGAGGACUCUGACUGAACUCUUUGGCUAGAUGCUCCCUGUUGGGUGUUACUGGGAGACAGAAACAAAGUUUUCCAGAGUGUUGGCAUUACAGGAAUGCACCACCACACCUGACUGAGAGAGUUUGUUUUGACUGGUGGAAACAGAAGCGGCUUCCUAAAAGAGAAAAAUGGCAGAUCUGGAAUUCCUGGGGCCACAUUCCAGGGACUGGACACCGGCUGCUUCCUGAGGAUGCGGGUGGAGGAGCUUCUGACUUCACAGCCCCUGCAGGCCCUGAUGUCCAGUUCUACCCACAGACAGGACAGGACUGUUGUAGCCUUCAUGCCUGGUCUAAGCAGCCUCUCAGGAACCCCCUGAGCCCUGGAGUCCACACAACUCCAAAGCAGCUCAGUUAGGGGAGAGUCAGGGACCCCCAAAUGCUAAGUACCCAGACAUUCUUCAGACCUCUACAUAAUUCAGGCUUAAAAAUGACCUAGGUUGAGUCUGCUGUCAUGUUUUUGGGAUGAAGAUGAAAAGAGAAGUGAAAGUGUCUAAAGAGAAGAGCUCUUCCAUUUCUUGCACUGCUGAACUUGUGAAGAUUCCUAUCCUGUUCAUAAGUAGGAGACCAAGAAGUGGAGAGAGAGGAGAGAGGAAGUAAAAAGAAUCAAGCUGUGUUCUGUACAUCUACCAACUACCCAU